UCUCUCUCUAACACGGAGACAUACAAGGAAAGCUGAAGAAAUGGCAAGAGAGGGAGGAAGGUAGGGGAAAGAAUCUGGGUUUCAUCAGAGAUUUUAGUUGGUAUAUUUGAAAGCGAAUUCGUGCUGAUAACGUGUUGUAAACUAAAUAGAUUAUGGAGAGAAUUGAGAUGGAGAGAAGGCAUAGAAGCCUAAUAUUUUAUUGAAUGUUUUCUCUGUCU
This 218-nucleotide long non-coding RNA is filed under the name Prunus dulcis (almond). RNAcentral describes it as "sRNA ncRNA". The record is from RNAcentral. Lineage: Eukaryota; Viridiplantae; Streptophyta; Magnoliopsida; Rosales; Rosaceae.